Small nuclear RNA from Podarcis muralis (Common wall lizard), 130 nucleotides. Its record names the gene U1. It matches the Rfam family "U1 spliceosomal RNA". Rfam says of the family: U1 is a small nuclear RNA (snRNA) component of the spliceosome (involved in pre-mRNA splicing). Its 5' end forms complementary base pairs with the 5' splice junction, thus defining the 5' donor site of an intron. There are significant differences in sequence and secondary structure between metazoan and yeast U1 snRNAs, the latter being much longer (568 nucleotides as compared to 164 nucleotides in human). Lineage: Eukaryota; Metazoa; Chordata; Lepidosauria; Squamata; Lacertidae. The record is from Ensembl.
CUACUCAUUAAAGUGGAGUUUUCCCAGGGUGAGGCUCAUCCAUUGCACUCUGGGUGCACUGACCCCUGCAAGUUCCCCAAAUAUGGGAAACUUGACUGAGUAAUUUAUGAUUAGAAUAGUUUGCUGGCUC